CAGUCGCCACGGGAAUACAGAGGGUGCGAGCGUUAAUCGGAUUUACUGGGCGUAAAGCGUGCGUAGGCGGCUAAUUGAGUCGGAUGUGAAAUCCCCGAGCUUAACUUGGGAAUUGCAUUCGAUACUGGUUAGCUAGAGUGUGGGAGAGGAUGGUAGAAUUCCAGGUGUAGCGGUGAAAUGCGUAGAGAUCUGGAGGAAUACCGAUGGCGAAGGCAGCCAUCUGGCCUAAUACUGACGCUGAGGUACGAAAGCAUGGGGAGCAAACAGGAUUAGAUACCCCCGUAGUCCCUGUCUCUUAUAC
RNAcentral lists this ribosomal RNA (301 nucleotides) under uncultured bacterium. RNAcentral describes it as "partial 16S ribosomal RNA". It matches the Rfam family "Bacterial small subunit ribosomal RNA", at positions 509 to 807 of the family's 1533-position model. The record is from RNAcentral.